This 253-nucleotide ribosomal RNA is filed under the name uncultured bacterium. RNAcentral's name for it is "partial 16S ribosomal RNA". It matches the Rfam family "Bacterial small subunit ribosomal RNA", at positions 524 to 776 of the family's 1533-position model. The record is from RNAcentral.
UACGUAGGUGGCAAGCGUUGUCCGGAAUCAUUGGGCGUAAAGCGCGUGUAGGCGGUCCGGUAAGUCCGCUGUGAAAGUCGAGGGCUCAACCCUCGAAUGCCGGUGGAUACUGUCGGGCUAGAGUGCGGAAGAGGCGAGUGGAAUUCCUGGUGUAGCGGUGAAAUGCGCAGAUAUCAGGAGGAACACCUAUUGCGAAGGCAGCUCGCUGGGACGUUACUGACGCUGAGACGCGAAAGCGUGGGGAGCAAACAGG